UACGUAGGGACCAAGCGUUGUUCGGAUUUACUGGGCGUAAAGGGCGCGUAGGCGGCAAUUCAAGUCAGCUGUGAAAUCUCUGGGCUUAACCCAGAACGGCCAGCUGAUACUGCUUUGCUAGAGUUCGGAAGAGGCGAGUGGAAUUCCCGGUGUAGCGGUGAAAUGCGCAGAUAUCGGGAGGAACACCAAUGGCGAAGGCAGCUCGCUGGGACGUUACUGACGCUGAGACGCGAAAGCGUGGGGAGCAAACAGG
RNAcentral lists this ribosomal RNA (253 nucleotides) under uncultured bacterium. RNAcentral's name for it is "partial 16S ribosomal RNA". It matches the Rfam family "Bacterial small subunit ribosomal RNA", at positions 524 to 776 of the family's 1533-position model. The record is from RNAcentral.